RNAcentral lists this ribosomal RNA (1554 nucleotides) under Klebsiella aerogenes. RNAcentral describes it as "16S ribosomal RNA". It matches the Rfam family "Bacterial small subunit ribosomal RNA". The record is from RNAcentral. RNAcentral also lists the same sequence under 1 other name. Lineage: Bacteria; Pseudomonadati; Pseudomonadota; Gammaproteobacteria; Enterobacterales; Enterobacteriaceae.
ACUUAAAUUGAAGAGUUUGAUCAUGGCUCAGAUUGAACGCUGGCGGCAGGCCUAACACAUGCAAGUCGAGCGGUAGCACAGAGAGCUUGCUCUCGGGUGACGAGCGGCGGACGGGUGAGUAAUGUCUGGGAAACUGCCUGAUGGAGGGGGAUAACUACUGGAAACGGUAGCUAAUACCGCAUAACGUCGCAAGACCAAAGUGGGGGACCUUCGGGCCUCAUGCCAUCAGAUGUGCCCAGAUGGGAUUAGCUAGUAGGUGGGGUAAUGGCUCACCUAGGCGACGAUCCCUAGCUGGUCUGAGAGGAUGACCAGCCACACUGGAACUGAGACACGGUCCAGACUCCUACGGGAGGCAGCAGUGGGGAAUAUUGCACAAUGGGCGCAAGCCUGAUGCAGCCAUGCCGCGUGUAUGAAGAAGGCCUUCGGGUUGUAAAGUACUUUCAGCGAGGAGGAAGGCGUUAAGGUUAAUAACCUUGGCGAUUGACGUUACUCGCAGAAGAAGCACCGGCUAACUCCGUGCCAGCAGCCGCGGUAAUACGGAGGGUGCAAGCGUUAAUCGGAAUUACUGGGCGUAAAGCGCACGCAGGCGGUCUGUCAAGUCGGAUGUGAAAUCCCCGGGCUCAACCUGGGAACUGCAUUCGAAACUGGCAGGCUAGAGUCUUGUAGAGGGGGGUAGAAUUCCAGGUGUAGCGGUGAAAUGCGUAGAGAUCUGGAGGAAUACCGGUGGCGAAGGCGGCCCCCUGGACAAAGACUGACGCUCAGGUGCGAAAGCGUGGGGAGCAAACAGGAUUAGAUACCCUGGUAGUCCACGCCGUAAACGAUGUCGACUUGGAGGUUGUGCCCUUGAGGCGUGGCUUCCGGAGCUAACGCGUUAAGUCGACCGCCUGGGGAGUACGGCCGCAAGGUUAAAACUCAAAUGAAUUGACGGGGGCCCGCACAAGCGGUGGAGCAUGUGGUUUAAUUCGAUGCAACGCGAAGAACCUUACCUACUCUUGACAUCCAGAGAACUUAGCAGAGAUGCUUUGGUGCCUUCGGGAACUCUGAGACAGGUGCUGCAUGGCUGUCGUCAGCUCGUGUUGUGAAAUGUUGGGUUAAGUCCCGCAACGAGCGCAACCCUUAUCCUUUGUUGCCAGCGAUUCGGUCGGGAACUCAAAGGAGACUGCCAGUGAUAAACUGGAGGAAGGUGGGGAUGACGUCAAGUCAUCAUGGCCCUUACGAGUAGGGCUACACACGUGCUACAAUGGCAUAUACAAAGAGAAGCGACCUCGCGAGAGCAAGCGGACCUCAUAAAGUAUGUCGUAGUCCGGAUUGGAGUCUGCAACUCGACUCCAUGAAGUCGGAAUCGCUAGUAAUCGUAGAUCAGAAUGCUACGGUGAAUACGUUCCCGGGCCUUGUACACACCGCCCGUCACACCAUGGGAGUGGGUUGCAAAAGAAGUAGGUAGCUUAACCUUCGGGAGGGCGCUUACCACUUUGUGAUUCAUGACUGGGGUGAAGUCGUAACAAGGUAACCGUAGGGGAACCUGCGGUUGGAUCACCUCCUUACCUUAAAGAA